GCGGGUUUAAGGGUCUUAAAAACUGACUCUUAAUCAGUGGGCCUACGGUUCGAGUCCGUAAAGGUGCACCA
Molecule: transfer RNA, 71 nt
Filed under: Staphylococcus lugdunensis
Lineage: Bacteria; Bacillati; Bacillota; Bacilli; Caryophanales; Staphylococcaceae
Also listed under: 2 other names
Description: tRNA-Lys
Rfam family: tRNA (bases 5-60)
About the family: Transfer RNA (tRNA) molecules are approximately 80 nucleotides in length. Their secondary structure includes four short double-helical elements and three loops (D, anti-codon, and T loops).
Source: RNAcentral